RNAcentral lists this ribosomal RNA (450 nucleotides) under uncultured bacterium. RNAcentral's name for it is "partial 16S ribosomal RNA". It matches the Rfam family "Bacterial small subunit ribosomal RNA", at positions 354 to 796 of the family's 1533-position model. The record is from RNAcentral.
GUGGGGAAUAUUGGACAAUGGGCGCAAGCCUGAUCCAGCCAUGCCGCGUGUGUGAAGAAGGCCUUCGGGUUGUAAAGCACUUUUGUCCGGGAAGAAAUCUUCCAGGUUAAUACCCUGGGAGGCUGACGGUACCGGAAGAAUAAGCACCGGCUAACUUCGUGCCAGCAGCCGCGGUAAUACGAAGGGUGCAAGCGUUACUCGGAAUUACUGGGCGUAAAGCGGGCGUAGGUGGUUCGUUAAGUCUGCCGUGAAAGCCCCGGGCUCAACCUGGGAAUGGCGGUGGAUACUGGCGGGCUAGAGUGCGGUAGAGGGUGGUGGAAUUCCUGGUGUAGCAGUGAAAUGCGUAGAGAUCGGGAGGAACAUCUGUGGCGAAGGCGGCCACCUGGACCAGCACUGACACUGAGGCACGAAAGCGUGGGGAGCAAACAGGAUUAGAAACCCUGGUAGUCC